This is a non-coding RNA of Oryctolagus cuniculus (rabbit), 1566 nucleotides long. The record is from the annotation of a RefSeq genome assembly. Lineage: Eukaryota; Metazoa; Chordata; Mammalia; Lagomorpha; Leporidae.
UUUCUUCAGAUGAGGGUUAUUUUCCAGAUGACUUACGUGGUUUGACAGGUGCAUAUUUAGUUCAGUCUUCACAUGUUUCAAUUGCUGCAGGGCAGGGAGGCUGUCUUUCCAAGGAACAAGGAUUUUCCAGGAGUUCCUACCCAGAAUCCAGGUUCUGGAGCUGGAGUUUCACCCUGACAUUUGGGGUGCAUCCAAGGCUGCCAGGACUUUGUCUUUCCCCCAGCUCACCAGCCAUGCUCUCUGCGUCUUGCUCAGUGACUGUGGUGGUCCUGCUGCUAACUGUGCGACGGACGAAUGGAGCCUCAGUGACCCAGACAGAGGGACCCGUUAUCCUCUCCGAGGGCUCAUCUCUGACCCUGAACUGCAACUACGAAGCUGACUAUCUGGAUGUUCUUUUCUGGUAUGUCCAGUAUCUCCAUCAGGGUCCUCAGCUCCUGUUGAAAAGUGCAACAGAAAACCAGAGAAUGGAGCAUCAAGGUUUUCACGCCACUCUUGUCAAGAAGGACAGCUCCUUCCACCUGCACAAAUCCUCACUGCAGUUAUCAGACUCAGCUGUGUACUACUGUGCUCUGAGAGACACAGUGAGAGGAACCACAGAAGGAGUUGAGCACAAACCCAGAGGUGUGCAGCUGGGGCUGUGGGUGGGCAGCCCUGGGAGGGUGGAGCUAGGUUUCCCUCCAAAGUCAUGAAGUGUCUGCAGACACUCACAUGGAAGGAACAGAUUCCAUCUUUGAUGUCUCAGGCUUGGGAGCCCUGGAGUAAGUGAGACUGGUGGUGGGAGGAGGAAAUCUAGUAAACAGGGGAGUUCCAGUUAUCUGAGAUGAUCCUGCUUUCAGUAAAGGUGCCUCUAGUGUUCCAGCAGGUUGAAGAUGUUCCCUGGUGUCUGCUGAAGUUUGCAGUGGCUCCCCUGCCAAGAGAAAUGUGGAUCUGGUCUCUCCUGAGAUAUCCUCAUGUUGGUCUGGGAGAUCUGCAAGGAUCUCAUCAUUUUUGUUAAAUAUAAGAUAAGUUAAAUGGGAUAUCAGAGGUGUAAUCCCACUGAUGUCAGCCUGGUGCAAGUGGCCCUCCUCACAGCCUGAGCUACAGAAACUCCUGCCCCAGUUCUCAGGACCUUCAUUUCCUCUCCAGUUCCUCCUUUGCAGCAAUCUUUCCAUCUUCUCCCCGGGACAACAGACAAGAGCCCAGUCGGGAAAGACUGUGAGGGGAGGCUUCCCUUGUCUCUCUGUGUGAGACACAAGUCAGCUGUGUGUGGGGGUGUGACCCUGGGUUUUGUGCUGCUUCUGUUCUUAUUGAUUGGGGGUAAAUAGUAAUUUGGUUUAAAGUUAGCUCUUCCUUUUUUAGGAGCAUAUUCUUUUUUUAAGAUUUAUUUAUUUGAAAGUCAGAGCUACAGAGAGGCAAAGGCAGAGAGAGAGAGAGUGAGAGUGAGAGAGAGGUCUUCCAUCUGCUGGUUCACUCCCCAGAUGGCCACCACGGCCAGAGCUAUGCUGGUCAGAGCCAGGAGUUGGGAAAUUCCUCUGGGUCUCCCACAUGGUUGCAGGUGCCCAAGGACUUAGGCCAUCUUCUACUGCU